RNAcentral lists this unclassified non-coding RNA (424 nucleotides) under uncultured Tricholomataceae. RNAcentral's name for it is "sequence contains ITS2". The stretch from base 1 to 154 matches the Rfam family "5.8S ribosomal RNA". The record is from RNAcentral. Lineage: Eukaryota; Fungi; Basidiomycota; Agaricomycetes; Agaricales; Tricholomataceae.
AACUUUUGACAAUGGAUCUCUUGGCUCUCGCAUCGAUGAAGAACGCAGCGAAAUGCGAUAAGUAAUAUGAAUUGCAGAAUUCAGUGAAUCAUCGAACCUUUGAACGCACCUUGCGCCCCUUGGUAUUCCGAGGGGCACGCCUGUUCGAGUGUCCUUAAAUUCUCAACCUUGCCAGCGUUUACGAGUUGGUGUAGGCUUGGAUGUGGGGGUUGCCGGCUUCUUCAGAGGUCGGCUCUCCUUAAACGCAUUAGCGGAACCUUUGUGGACCGUCUCUGGUGUGAUAAUUAUCUACGCCAUUGCCGUGAAGCAGCUUUACAUGGGGUUCAGCUCAUAACCGUCCAUUGACUUGGACAACUCUUGACAUUUUGACCUCAAAUCAGGCGGAACUACCCGCUGAACUUAAGCAUAUCAAUAAGCGGAGGCU